AGACAUUGUUCACUGUGAAUAGAAAGUUCAAGAAAGAUGAAACGGAAAUCGACAAAUCCAACUCAAGUGGAUUCUUGCCUUUGUUUUUUUACAAGACUUCAUUUUUAAGGGAGAUUGAAAUGGAAGAAAACGCCUGCACCUGCCCCAUUUAAGCUGGAUGAUCCAGCUCAAGUAAAUUUCUUUCUUAUCAAUCUACAAGUUCUUCUUCUUGGACAGAAGGAACAAUCCAAAUUGGAGCAUUCAUAAAUCCAGGACCGAAGUUUAAGACAGGUGAUUGGCAUUGGAUGCGAGUCUCAUGAUCUUUACAAUCUCUGCCCUUCUAUACAUGUUAGCGUGCUUAUGGAGGUUCAUCUCUUUUUCAUGCUCAGUUAGGUCAUCCCUGUCGUGCCAAAUUGCAACAGUUUGUCCCUAACUUAUCCAAGUUGCCUAAUUUGGUCUGUAAGUCGUGUCAACUAGGAUAACAUAUUCGUAGUUCAUUUCCUCGUAGUGUCUCACAACGUGCUCGUCUCCUUUAAUAUUUUUAGGAUAAUGUUAUUUUUAUUGCAUGUUAUUUCGUUAGUCAUAUGCCAUG
This is a long non-coding RNA of Vigna radiata var. radiata (mung bean), 571 nucleotides long. RefSeq lists it as uncharacterized. NCBI's taxonomy places the organism in Eukaryota, Viridiplantae, Streptophyta, Magnoliopsida, Fabales, Fabaceae. The transcript has 3 exons. The record is from RefSeq and is a predicted model, not a curated record.